Molecule: ribosomal RNA, 624 nt
Filed under: Desmonostoc muscorum LEGE 12446
Lineage: Bacteria; Bacillati; Cyanobacteriota; Cyanophyceae; Nostocales; Nostocaceae
Description: bacterial SSU rRNA
Rfam family: Bacterial small subunit ribosomal RNA
Source: RNAcentral
CGGACGGGUGAGUAACGCGUGAGAAUCUAGCUUCAGGUCUAGGACAACCACUGGAAACGGUGGCUAAUACUGGAUGUGCCGGAAGGUGAAAGGCUUGCUGCCUGAAGAUGAGCUCGCGUCUGAUUAGCUAGUUGGUGGGGUAAGAGCCUACCAAGGCGACGAUCAGUAGCUGGUCUGAGAGGAUGAUCAGCCACACUGGGACUGAGACACGGCCCAGACUCCUACGGGAGGCAGCAGUGGGGAAUUUUCCGCAAUGGGCGAAAGCCUGACGGAGCAAUACCGCGUGAGGGAGGAAGGCUCUUGGGUUGUAAACCUCUUUUCUCAGGGAAGAACACAAUGACGGUACCUGAGGAAUCAGCAUCGGCUAACUCCGUGCCAGCAGCCGCGGUAAUACGGAGGAUGCAAGCGUUAUCCGGAAUGAUUGGGCGUAAAGCGUCCGCAGGUGGCUGUGUAAGUCUGCUGUUAAAGAGUCUAGCUCAACUAGAUAAAGGCAGUGGAAACUACACGGCUAGAGUGCGUUCGGGGCAGAGGGAAUUCCUGGUGUAGCGGUGAAAUGCGUAGAGAUCAGGAAGAACACCGGUGGCGAAGGCGCUCUGCUAGGCCCGCAAACUGACACUGAGGACG